UUUCUACAGUGGUCUUAGACAAUUUUGGAGCAAAAAUCAUUCCUAUCGCAAAACAAAUUGUAAAAUUUGUUCCUAAAUCAGUAAAAGCUAUAGCCUUCAGCAGAAUGUUGACUCUAGACAGCAUAGGAUUUUACUCUAUUAGUGAAUUUUCUUCUCUUGCCUUAUUGUUACUAUUUUCUUUAUCCAUACAGACAAGCACUGAUUUGGUACAGCCGGCUUCUGGUGGUUCAUUUAAUGGAUUCACACAGCCCCAGGAUACUUCAUUAUUCACAAUGCAGACAGACCAGAGUAUGAUCUGCAACUUGGCUGAAUCUGAACAGGCUCCGCCCACAGAGCCAAAAGCAGAGGAGCCUCUGGCUGCUGUCACACCUGCCGUUGGGCUGGACCUUGGAAUGGACACUCGGGCUGAGGAGCCAGUGGAGGAGGCAGUGAUCAUACCUGGAGCUGAUACUGAUGCAGCUGUUGGAACCUUGGUGUCAGCAGCUGAGGGGGCCCCAGGAGAGGAAGCAGAGGCAGAGAAGCCCACUGUCCCUGCCGGGGAAGGAGUAAGUUUAGAGGAGGCCAAAAUUGGAACUG
This 576-nucleotide small RNA is filed under the name Pongo abelii (Sumatran orangutan). Its description in RNAcentral is "retained intron". The record is from RNAcentral. Lineage: Eukaryota; Metazoa; Chordata; Mammalia; Primates; Hominidae.